This 6588-nucleotide long non-coding RNA is filed under the name Marmota monax (woodchuck). The record is from RNAcentral. Lineage: Eukaryota; Metazoa; Chordata; Mammalia; Rodentia; Sciuridae.
CACAAUUUUUCCUAAACUGGGCCCACUUGAGUCAUCUUGGCCUCACACCUGUGGCAUCAGUUUGCCUGCCACAUGCCCUGCCAGCUGGUGAGUGGCAUAUUCCCGCCUCCCCCGUGUUCUGAACAGUGGCCGAGCGUGUGCUAGAACUUGCCUGGCCUGUGAUCUAGGGCUGAUGCAAUUUGAGGGCUCUUGCACAGUUUGGAUAAAUGCAGGGUCUUGCUAGCCGCCAGGCCUUGGGCAGGUACUGGGCUUCUACUCCUGGUCUCUGUCUGUAGAGGGGCAGUGGUAGGGCCUGCCUCAAGAGGGACAGAUAGCCCAGCAGCUCAGCAAGCACCCACCUGACCACCAUCGUGCCAGACCCCUGAGCAGGCUGCUCCAUGUGGACUUGGAUACUUCUCCCUUGGCUUCCUGUGCGUCAGGUGCAGAGGACUCGCUGCCGCCUUUCUCUUCCUCUGGAGUUAUCUGCAGACCUACGGUCUACCUUACAUUCAGCCACUGGCCAAAGUCUCCCACACCGACGGUCCCUGGCCAUGCAGUCUGACAUAACGAUCUUUCAGCUUUCCGGUGUUGCAGAGGCAAAGGGCAUGUGGUCACAACUACAGUUUGAAUUUGGAUUUGGACUUUCUGGGCUGGAGGUUCUCUGUGUGUGUGAAUCUCCUGUUUCUCAUCAGGCUUCCCCGCCAGCUUGAGCCCCCGCUGAUGGUGCCUGAGCGAGGGCUGUCGUGGCUGCUGAUCCCUCGGAGGACAUACUGUCCCUUGCCAUGUUUGUGUUACAUACUUGUCCAUCAGUGCAUGGUUCCGCUUAUUUCAUGAGUGAUCGUUGUCACAGUUUAUGUUGGUGCUCAGGUUGUCUCAGCCUUGGCUGGGAAGGCACUUGAGGCAAGGCUGGGUCCUUUGGACGUCACCUGCCCUCUCCAGCACUUUCUUCUUCACUCCAGGUGUCUUAGCUGGUCUCCCUCUUUCCUGCCCAGCCCUGGGGUAGCUGUUUCUCGCAAGCACUGGUUCCUUCAGGGAAGGUGAUGUUGAGAAGCCAGGGUGUGACCUCUGAGUGGUGCUUGGCUUUCGGGGCGUGUGUUCUUUGUGUGUCCAGUGGCCAGCAGUUGCUGCCUUCCAUUAUUUCUGGACCUGCAGGCUGCUGAGCUCCCACCUUUGCAGGCAGCACCACAGGUCAGCCCUUCCAUAUUUGAGCAGCCUUCUCGGAUGUGGGAUUCUCUCUCAGUCCUUCUGUAUGUGAUGGUCCUUCCCACCCCACAGGGCCUGCUGCCUCUCUUGGGCCAGCCCUCCAAAAGGUUGAGGAGCAGGGUUCUGCUGCUUGACCGCCAGCGUUGUCCAGAUCCGAGCCACGGAGCGAGCCACGGAGCCCUGUACUGGUGUUCUGUCCAGAGCUCAUGCUCCUGGUGGUCUUGGUGGUCUUGUUUUUAGAAACAACACAGCUGAGUUUGUGUUUCAGCCUACAGGGAGUGUCCCUCCAUGGUGGGGACCUGCCCGUGGUCAGGGUGGUGGUUGGUGCCUUCUUUUGCACCGUGCUGCCAGCCCGCUCCUCCCUGUUCUGCUGUCGGUGGCAGAGCCACAUGGUUCCUUUGGUGCCUUGUGGAGUGGAAGUGAGCUCUUGCUCCUGUGUGUCCGUUGCCUGUUCAUCCUUGACCCAAGCUCACUUGGGAGGGCCUCCCCUGCCCUUGCCCUGCUCCUGGGCUCAUGCACCCAGCUUCCUGCAGGCCCCUCUCCUUCAGACUGCAGUCUCUGGGUCCUGACUGAUCUCCCUCUGAGGUCUGGAACUAGUUGGGUCUUUCCUUGGCACCCUUAUUCAGCUCUCAGUGCACGUUCUAGAUGCAGCCUGUCCUCCGGCAGCAUUGGUGUCCCUUGGGGAGCAUCACCCACAAACGGCUUCUUUCCCUCCAUCUUGGUGACUUCUGGUUCUCUGUUCCUGGGGCGACUACAGAGGCCACCUCAGCUGUGGUCAGCCGAGCUCGUGGGAUGUCAGCUUCUGUGUUCACUGCUUGUCCCAGGCUUCAGUCUGCCCUGGAGAUGGGACCUCACUGGCAGGGAACCCCACCCUCAGCCACUCCUCUCCUCUCAGGUGUCCCCAGGUGUCAUUGCCAACCCCUUUGCAGCAGGCAUCAGCCACCGGAACAGCCUGGAGAGCAUCUCGUCCAUCGACCGGGAGCUGAGCCCUGAGGGCCCAAGCAAGGUCGGAACUCCUGUGGCUGGCAGCCAGGGCUGGGGACCUGAACUGCUGAUGCCUGACUUGUCUGCUCCCUCACAGGAGAAGGAACUGCCCAGUCAGACCCCACACUGGGGGCCUGAGGCUGUGGAGGCCACGGUGAGUCCCAUGGGGCCUGGCUCUGUGCUCUGGGCUGCAUCCUCCCCUGAAGCAGUGCAGUCCAUGCCCAGGCACACAGCCCAGCUAGCAGUGUCACUCUGCUCCCCAGGGCCAGAGGCUGGAGCCCCUGAAGCUGGACUACCGUGUCCUGGCUGCUCUGCCCGGCACUGGCAGUGUGCAGAGGGUCAGUGUCCCACGUGUGCUGAGUUGCACCCUCCUGACGCCUUGUCCAUCUGCCCACCAGCCUGUCAGCUCCCUCUUCACCUGGCCAGCCACUGCCAGGGGCUGAGUGCCGAGGCCACCAUGGAGGAGCCUCUGUGGGGUGGGGCACGGGCUGGGGUUGGAGGAGCCCAGCCGCGUCUUACCCUUUACUUCUUGACCUUAGUCACGCGUGGAGGGGGGUCCUUUGAAAGCCCCCGACCCCUUCCCUGCCUCAUCCUUACCAGUCAGCUGGGUAUGGGGAACUGAGUCCAGCCUGUGGCAGGCAGAAGGGCUCCUGAGGUAGAGGCAGCUGGAAGUCACCAGAGUCUCUCCAGGCUCCUGGUGGGGGAGGGCGGGCAUGAGCAGCCCUGGAAUGGGUGGGCAUGAGCAGCUGCAGAGUGUCCUGGGAGGCCAGGGUGAGUGGAGAAGGGCUUAGCAUUAACUGGGUGUGGCAUCCAGGGCACCGGGUCUGGGGACAGACAGGAAGGACAUUCAGCCCCCAUUCCUCCCCAGGAGGUAUAAAUAACACUGGUAGAGGGUGAGCCCAGUCAGCUGCUGCUGGGAGACCCCACAGGAGUGUGAGUGCUUCAGGGGCGGGUCGGGGAGGACGCUGCCGGAGCAGUGGGGGAGGCGCUGAGUGGCCUGGUGGGCCUGGGGACUGAAGGAGCCUGCUUGGGCUUUGGGUGUGGACCCUCCUGCUGCACAGAACCUGGAGAGGGCAGCAGGGGUGGGGCCUAGCACCCUCACAUUAGGAGGGGGCACAGUGGCUGGUGGACCGUGGGAGGACUCCCUGGCUCUCACUGCUGGGGUGUCCUGGGUUUGGGGGCCCCUCUGCACAGCUCUGGGCUGCAGCUGCUACUGUGAACUCACACUCAGCUAGCUGCUCAGCCCAGGCCCAAUCUCCUGCCUUCUUUUUAAAAAUAUUUUGAUUUUUUAGUGUACACAAUACCCAUGUUUUUUAUUUAUUUUUAUGUGGUGCUGAGGAUCGAACCUAGGACCUCGCACAUGCUAGGCGAAUGCCCAGACUCCUGCCUUCUGGCUGGGGCACACCCUUUGUGGUGGCCAAGCCUGUCCCGAUAUAUCCCUGGGGGUGUGGUUGGUCAGAGAAUUGAGUAGCAGCUUCUGUGCUGCCAGCAUGGGUGCGUGCUAGGGACCCCCAAAUCCUUUUACUUGGGGGACACAGUUCUGCCUAGCCCUCCCCCACCCACCAGCUGGUUCCUGCAGGUACCAUCUGGAACAACUGGAGGGAAGAUGGCGGAGGCCCCCUGCUCCCCUGGAGGCCAGCAGGUGAGCAUCUCUGCUGCCCCCUAGAGUGCUGUAGAUGGGUGCUGUGUGGAGCUGGCCUCCACAAGGGGAAUGCUUGUGCUCCUGGAGGGGAUCCAGCCCUCCCUGAACGUGGGCCAGCACCAAGGACCCACCGGUAUACUCACCCCUUGCCUGGGUCCCUCAUGCCCCCCCAUCCUGCUGCGAGAGGAGGGCCAGGCCUCGGGCACCCCUCAUCCUGCCCUGCAGGAUGGGGUGGGCACUUGGAGCCCAGCUGCCAGCCCAGUCCCCGGAGGCUGAGGCAUUCAGGUGCAUGUCCCCGCCCCUGCUGUCCAGCUUGCCUCCCUCCCUCUCUCCUCCUUUCUUGGACCCCUGAUCCUGUACUUCUCUGCCCCCUUCCCUGCCCUUUGCAGACAAAACCCGGGGUGAUCCAGCCUUUGGCUCAGGCCUGGCCAAGGGGCUCCCCGGCCCCCAGGGGCAGAGGUGAUCCCCGCUCCGUGAGUGUCCUAUCCCACAGGGGGUAGGGGGUGGCAGUUUCCUUCCCCUCUACGGGACAGGGCGAGGGGGGGAUCAGUGGCAGUCCGUGGAGACAGCUGGUGGCUGGUUGGGCGGUGGCUGCAGUGGACAGCUGCCCCCCACCCCGCCUCACGGGCACUCCGCCCCCAGACGCCCUCCCCGCCCUCCCCGGAGGAGCUGCCCGCCAACGUGAAGCAGGCCUACAGGGCCUUUGCCGCAGUGCCCGCCGCACACCCUCCCGAGGACUGCGCUGCCCAGGUAGGCGGGCGCCCUGCGGUGCGGGGCACUGAGUGCGGGUGGGUGCCCGCGGAGGAACUCUGGCCGAGUGUGAGGUCCACCUCCCCAGCCCCCCGCAGCCUCCCCGGAGCAGCUCUCCUUCCGCGAGCGGCAGAAGUACUUUGAAUCGGAGGUGCGGGUGCCCCAGGCCGAGGGGCCCCCCAAGCGCGUGUCCCUGGUGGGUGCCGACGACCUGCGGAAGAUGCAGGAGGAGGAAGGUGAGGAGGGCGGGAGGAGGGGCGGGGUGUGUGUGUGUGUGUGCCCGCCUGACCCACCCACCUCCCCGCAGCCCGCAAGCUGCAGCAGAAGAGGGCGCAGAUGCUGCGGGAGGAGGCCGCGACCGCGACCUCCGGGCCCAACAUUGGGCUCGCCCUGGACCUGGAGGCCCCUGAAGAGGAGCACCAGGAAGACGAGCCGCUCUGGGCCAGCCUGGGCGGGUGAGCUCCGCCCCCUCCCCCCCACCCUGCCCCGCUGUGCCCGCCCCCUCAACUGGCCUCCCUCUUCCCUAGGCCCAGCCCUGCAUCCCCGCUGCCCGCAGGAGGCAGCGCCCCUGUGCGAACAGCCAAAGCUGAGCGGCGCCACCAGGAGCGGCUGCGCAUGCAGAGCCCGGAGCUGGCGGCACCAGAGCGGGCCCUGUCCCCAGCGGAGCGCCGGGCCCAGGAAGCAGAGAAGCGGGCGCUGUGGAGGGCGGCCAGGUAAGUGGGUUCCCCCCCGCCCCGCGCCGCGCCCACUCCCUGGUCUCCGCCCACCCAUUGGUCUCCGCAGGAUGAAGUCUCUGGAGCAGGACGCUCUGCGCGCACAGAUGGUGCUCAGCAAGUCCCAGGAGGGCCGGAGCAAGCGAGGGCCCCUGGAGCGGCUGGCCGAGUCCCCCUCGCCCGCUCCCACCCCAUCGCCCACCCCCUUGGAAGGUCGGUGUGUCUGGUAGGAGGGGGGGGGGUUCUGCCAGCUAUGGGCCUUUCCCAAAGCCAGUGUCUUGUACCCCAGAUCUCGGCCUCCAGACCAGCACCACCCCGGGACGCCUGGUGAGCCACCCGCAGCUGUCUCCCCCCCUGCACCCCUGCGGCAUGGGGGCGGCGGUGCAGAUUCCCCCACACCGCCCUCACCUCUCUCCCUCGCACUUUCUGCCUCUUCCCCCUCACGCUGUCCUUUCAAGCCCUUGUCUGGAAAGAAGUUUGACUACAGGGCGUUCGCAGCCCUCCCUUCUUCCAGACCUGUCUAUGACAUCCAGGUACUGGCAGUCUCCUGGCCUUCUGCACGCGCAUGGGCCCAGUGCACGCUCCUGCCACUCCCCUGUGCCUGUCCCACCUGAGCUCUGUCCACCCCUGCUUUUUCCCUGCUCUUUCUCUGGUGUGGGGCCUCCCCCCUCCUCUUCCCUCCCGUCGCAGCCCAGCUGUGCUGUGCCCUCACCCAGGCUCUGUGGGCCUCAGAGCCAGGGGGACCGGCCAGGUCCACCAGGGUGGCUUCAGCCAGGUCUGGACCAGCCCUGACCAGCCCCUCUUCCCAUCACAGUCGCCAGAUUUUGUUGAGGAUCUGAGGUCCUUGGAACCAACUCCUAGCCCUGGUAAGUUGGUGCUGGGCUGGGGGUAAGCUCCCAGGGUGCCUGGUCACCCUGGGCUUACUUCCUGUCCUUGCCCCCGCCCCGCCCCCAGGCCCUCAGGAGGAGGAUGGAGAGGUGGCCCUGGUGCUCCUAGGCAGGCCCUCCCCCAGUUCCCUGGGCCCUGAAGAUGUGGCGCUGUGCAGCAGCCGUCGCCCCAUGCGGCCUGGGCGCCGGGGCCUGGGCCCUGUGCCCUCCUAGGGGGCAGGGCCUCCCCAGACUUGGGGUGGGGGCCUGCCAGCUCCAACACCACCCUUGCCCCAGUCUUUUAACCUGGGUGUUAGCAUUUUAAAGAGACCCCUCAGGGGCCUGGCCUGUGCCUGACUGCCCCACCCCAAGCGGGUUCUCUUGGCGAGACUGUAACUAGUGACGUUUGUACAACCAAAGACUCUAUUUUGUGGUUUAAGGAGAAUAAAAU